Molecule: long non-coding RNA, 1200 nt
Organism: Drosophila mojavensis
Lineage: Eukaryota; Metazoa; Arthropoda; Insecta; Diptera; Drosophilidae
Exons: 2
Source: RefSeq, a predicted model, not a curated record
UAUUUGCAAAUAUCUAUCUCAUUUGUUUUUUUUUUUUUUUACGACAAUAAAUUUAAAAAAAAAAAUAAAUAAAUAAAACAUGCAAAUUAUUUUAGACUAUUAUUAAAUUUAUGCAAUGCACUAUGGGAAAAAAGUACGAUAUUUUGGCAUUAAUACAAUUUUUUUGUUGUCUCAAACCGCUAAAGAAAUAUUUUUUUCCAAUUCUAAAUUCAUUAGAUAGAAUCAAAAUAUUUUUGUUAAAUUUUUGGGGACUACCCCUAUUAUUUGAUAAUUUUACAAAGUCAGCUGAUUCAGCGCUGCAUUGCAAUGUGAAAAAGCGCGCCAAAUAGAUCGCAACUUUUUAGCUGUAUAAAAUUUAUUUGUUAAUCGCAUAAAUUAAAACUUAAUAUGCAAAAAGUUAAUAAAGCUUAAUCCUAACAAAUAUGUUUGUGUUCUGUGGAGUAUAACUUUAACAGUCCUCGCUAGGCCUCGGCAGUUUUAGCUGAGGGUAAUUAACUAAACCAUAUAAUAACCCAUUAAUAACUUUUGCCCGUUUUUGCCCCUUUUCCCGAAAAUUGACAUGUUGUAGUUGCGCUUGAGUUUAGACGCUCAGUGCUGCUGGAAAUUUGGAGAUGCAACAACCGCCAAAACGACGUUGUAAUAUCUUUUAUUGCCAAAUCUUUUAACAACAAUGUGAACGAAGAUCUUAAAAAAAUUAUCCAAAAAGAAGUCGAGGAAUUUAUUCACUAUAUAAAAAAAUGUUUGUUGAAAUGCAAUAGAAUGUUAGAUCGAUUUAAAGUUAAACAUUCUACUUGGCUUGAUGGCAAUGUUGUGAUUGCGUUUGGUGAGCACGAGACGUCUCCAAAUAAAGCUGGACGUAAAUAUUUAAAUUAUGAAAAUGCAGAAUGUCGUUUAAAAAGAAAGUUAUCAUCAGAGCUUGCGUCAAAGGAAAAUUACGAAACUCCACUCUUAAUGAAGCCAGAAAUAAAAUAUACAAGAAUGACAGAAGAUCUCAUGCAAGAAAAUGCAGCAGAUUGAAUAACAUAACUGAUGUUUUCAACAGAGCAUUAGACUCGUCGGAUCCUCUAUUAUCAAGCCUCUGCCUAAAUGAACGCCAAAAAUUAAAUAAAAAAAGGAAUAUUCCGAAUGAAGUCGUUGCACUAUUUGAAUCUCCCGAUCAUAUUUUGAAAAAUCAUGAAGGUGAUUCAAGUGACGAAUGGA